AAUUUAAAAACAUUAAACAUAAAAAAUGAGAUCAAAAUAAUACUAAGAGCGUGUUUGGUUCACUUUUCUUCCACCAUGGAAUCGGAAUCGAAAUAGAUAAAUCCAUUUGUAGAUGUUUCGUAUGCGGGAGUCUCAUCCCGAUUCCGAUUUCCACCCCACUCAGCUCUUUUUUCAAUCCGGUCUAAAAGGUUGGAUUAGAAGUUGAAUCCGAACUGAAUGAAUAUUUAUUCGAAUUAAAUUUAUUUUUUUAUUUUUUUAAUUAAGACAUGAAGAAGUAAAAUUGGCCUAACUUAAACACCUAAGUCUAGCUUAACUUUUUCACUCAAAGCCUGCUUGCUAAACAUUUAUGUGAACAUAUACGAUAUUUUGAGUUACGCUCAAUUGUAUUCCGCCAUUUCAAAAUAGAUACUUGAUGUUUAUGAUUGAUACCUUUAAAGCUUCUAUUUUGUUUUAACUCAAAUUAUUCUAGGCUAAACAAGUCGUUGGACGAAAGCACCGACAAAGAAGGAAAGUAAUAAAAAAUAAUGCUCUAAAUUACUAGAUAAAGAAGUGGCGAAAAUAAGGUCGAAUGUGAAUUUAAACAACAAGAAUAUUUACAAUAGUUUAAGAAAAAACAGAGAACUUAAUUGUCAAAUGCCAGCCCCAGUUCAGCAGAAGGCAAUCAGAGAACUUUGAAGACCAUUAUGUGUUUGUUAUCCACAUCAGUUUCAGAUCCAAGUUUCUCAUCAUUUUACAUUUGUAGGAGUGUUAAAAAAAAAAAAACAAAAACAAAAUUCUAUAAAAUGUCCUUCUAAAACAAUGAAGUGAAGUGACAGAAACGAAAAAAAAAAAAAAAGAGCCAAAAUAAUAGAACCAAGUUUAGCAAUCAGAGAACUUUGAAGACCAUGGAGUAUCCACAUAAGUUUCAGGUCAUGAUGGCGCAUCAUUUUGCUUUCUGAGUAGAAUGUGCUGGGGCGAAACCAAUCCACUUACAGACUAAGUGAAGUAACUCAAACAGAAAAUAUGGAAUCAAUGGAUUAUACAUAUCGAAUAAACUGAUUACAACAAAGGGUUCAAAAAACCAAUGCAAGUCAUCAUAAAUUAACUAAUAUUAUUAUCUCAUUGAAAGCUUCAUGUCAAAAACACAAUACCAACUAUAUUUAUAAGAAUUACAUGUGGGGCGAAAACAUGCUAAGUUGCUAUAACAGUAACACAUUAAGCUCUGAAACAAACAAUUUAAGAAAAAAUAGUGUGGCAAUUUCAGCAAAAGAGAUGAUAAGGGUAACGCGAUUCAAUUACCCCUCUUAUCUAUGCAAGGUCUUUUGCCAAUGCAUGAAUAUUGCACCUGUGAACCAUUUCUCGUAGUUUCCUUGCUACCAUACUCCACGAAGCAAGGGGCUAAUGGUGCGUAAUUACGACAAAAAUCAUCAAAUUUAAACAAAAGCGAAUUGUGCAAAAAUAUAAAAAAAUAGGGAUGAAAUGCAAAAUCAUGCUGAUGACACAGGUAGCCUCAACUGGGGAUUUUUUUUUCCUCCCCCCUGUAAAGCCACUGCUUUAAAUUGCAUCAACAAGAACAAGUCAUUGUUCCCUUCAGCAUCUUUUUUGUAAAAUUGAUACUUUUAGUAUCAAUAUCAUCUAAACACAUUCAACACUAGUUUGCUCUGUGAAUACCAAGAUAGACAUAAAUUACCUCACAAAAUCCAGAAAAAAAGUUUAUUCGGUUUCACUUCACAAAACCAAACUGUGAAUGGCACUAAAAUUUGAAAUCCGUACAAAUUUGACACAAACUAAAAUCGAACCCACAAAAAUUGGAUAGAUCGUAUGAAGAUCAGUUGCUCGCGGCGGCGUCUCUUUCCUGGGAUCUACUUACUAGGGUUAGGGUUUGAGGAUGUGUCGAUUUUGAGCUCUUACGAGUUACAAAUAUAGUAAGCAUGGAAAUGAAUUGGUCCGGGCCAGGGAGUUCAUAGGCUAACGACAUUGCAAGUAGGCCCAUUAUGCUGGGCCUUUUUCAUGUUGGAUUAGUGAGUGUUCGUUGAGACGUGGAUAACUUGGCCUAUUAACGGCCUAUGCACGAAACUAAUGAAUCGGGCUUUGUUUUAUAACGGGCGCUCCAACGUUGGCACGCGCGGGAGAGAGAACCCAACCUUAAGCUAUAACCAUCUAUGCCUGUACAUUAAUUUCUAUGCCUAAAACCGACCGUUCCUAGAACAAGUGGUAAAAGAUUUUGUGGUUGGUAUCUGAAAUUCUAAGUUCGAAUCCUAGUUGAUUCAUAUUUUCAGCUAAUUUUUUUUCAGAAUAAAAUAAAUGAAGCAGGUAGCAUGUUACCUAUCUCUAAAAAAAAAAAAAAUUUAUAUGCCUAAAUUCGACAUGUACUCACCCCUUUAAUUUGGAAAAGAGUUCCAUUUACAUGUUAUGCAACUUCUCUUGAACAAUGUUGAAUAAUUUUGUUGAAACGAUUAAAUUUUUUUCAUUAUAGUUUUAUUUUUUAAAAGUGUUUGUCUAUAAUUAAACAAUAUUUACUAUUUUUUAUACUAAAUGAUAUUUAUUUUAAAUUUUACUUUAAUAAUAUUUACCUACCGUAACGCGCGGGUCACUAUAAUACAUUCAACUGCUAUGGAUAAUUGUGGUAUAACGCAUGGGAUAGAAAAAAAUCUAAUCAUAAACAAUAAAACAAUUUAAAAAGAAUAUAUUCUUAUGCAAUAUAAAAAUAUAUGAUUAGAUAUCACAAAUUCUAUAUAAAUAAUUAUGACAUAGAAUAAUCGUUCCGUACUCUCACAAUAAGGUAGUGGAGUUGACACUGGUAAAUUUUUUGUAAAAAUCUUAUAAAACUUACUGGAACAAUAGAUUUUUUUAUUUUUUUUAUUUACUUGACUAUCCAAUCUUUUAAAAUUUAAAUUUUAAUAUUAAAAUUUUUAAUUUAUUUUAUUUAAGUAAUUUAACUCUUAAAUAUAAAAUUUAAGCUAAAUAUUUAUUUUAAUAAAUUUAUAAUUAUAUAAAUUAUAUAAUAUAUAUAUAAAGUAAACUUGCAAAGAUAAAUGGCACGUUUAAGUAUUAAAGUUAAACAAUCACGAACCGGCUCAAAUUAAAUAAAUUAAAAUAUUAUAUNUUAAUUAUUUAUUUUAAUAAAUUUAUAUCUAUGAAAAUUAUAAAAAUUUUAUGAAAUAUACUAACUAAACAUAUAAAUAUAAACGACGCGUUUAAAGUUUGAAGUCUAAGGAUCAUUAACUAUUUCAAAUCAAAUAAAUUAAAAUAUUAUAUAGUAAAAUUAUUAUUUUUAUAUUUUGAAAAGUCAAAUUAGAAAAGUUUCAUAAUUUGUACCUAAAAUUUUAUAAUAAGAAAAAAAAUAUUUAUUGAAAUUUAUCUUAAUUUAAUUACAAACUGUUUGAAAACGACAAAAACUAUGCAACCUGUAGACAAAGUUGUCCUUGCUGCAGUACAAGAUGCCUCGGUGUCUCGAAUCUUAACCUAUCAAUAUAGUAGUUACAUAAUAUUAUUUACCAUUAAUUGCAUUCAGAUUUUUACAAAUAUAAUAAAUUAUAAAUAUUUUUUUAUAAAAUUUAAUUUUAGAUAUUAUUUUUAUAAAAAUUUUAAUAUUUUUAAAUAUGUCUUUGUAAUUUGUUAUCAUUGGCAUACUAUUUAUUUUAUAAGUUAAAUGAUCUUUUUGUCAUCACAAUUAUAUCCCCAACGGUUAAUUAAAGGGGAUAAAAAUGACAAUUCACUUAUUAACUAAUCGGGAUUAAAUAUUUAAUCUAUGAUUAACUAAAUUUUCUAAAGGAUUCGAACAGCGGGAAUAUAUUUGAAAAUAUUAGAAUUUUUAUAAAGACAAUAUAUAAAAUUAAAACUUUGUAGGGAUAUAUUUGUAAUUUACUAUAUUGGUAAGAAUCUUUGUGCAACUAAUCCUAUUAUUUAUAUUUAGUAAAUUUUUUAAAAAAUAUCAACUAAUUAAUUGAGAUACUAUAUCACUUAUAUAACUCUUUUAUUUUUAAAAUGUAUAAAAACUAUAUAAAAUAAUGAAUGGAUUUCAAGAAAGUAAUCUAAACUGUUAUAUUUUUUAUUUAUUUUUAAAUGAGCGGUCUAUAUUCAUCGACAGUGACUCAUGGGCCCACAUCCCACCUGCCAUUAGUGAAGGAAAAUGAUUCCAUUCUGUCAAACAGUUAAUAAUUAAGCCGCCCUGCAUCAAUCAUUUUGCAUCCUCGUCCUUUAAUAAAAUUAGGCCAUUAAAUUAUUAUAUUAUUUUAUUUUUAUUUAAAAUUAUUUAAAAAAUUUAUAAUAAUAUUUAAUAGUAUUAUUCACAAUGAGUACAGUAGGAUAAAACUAUAUGAACAUCGCCUCUAAACUACUAGUUUGAAAACUAUAAAGAUGAAUUCCGUGUUGGAAGUGUGCCCCAUCCACGAGUGGAACGAAAAAAGAAAAAAAAACUGUACAUCCUUAUUUUUUAAAGAAGAGAAAAAAAAAAAAAGAGAGAUAUUAAAAUUUUAUUAGUUUUAUCUAUUAUUAUAUGUUAUUAUUCUGAUACUUUUUAAUACAAAAUAUAUAUUAUUAUAUUUAUAUAUAUUAAACAGAAGCAACAAAAUAAUGUGCGGAAAAUAACGUAAAUCUAAGCCGGCAACCUUCAAUUAUUAUUAUCAAUCAUGAUUCAUCACUGUCAAUUCAUCAAAUUGAAUAAUAUUCUUAUUCUAAUCUAGUUUGAUUAGUUUUACUAGAUAAAAUUUUAUAUUUUAUGCAAAUUUUUUUUUAUCAUUUUAUCAGAAAAACACUAAUAAUGUCCUUUUUAUUACACAUAAUAAAUUUUAAAAAACACCAGUAAAAUGUCCAUGUCCACAAGGCCCACUCUCAUUCUCUCUCCUCCCCUAUGUCUCCCUUCUUCUCUGGUCUCUACUUUCCAUCCCCUCAAAGGAGAGGAGGAGAAAGAGAGUGCCGAAUCUCUGUUCCCCUCUCCUCCACAUAGAGCUCAAAUUGGUUCUACCUCUUUAAUUUGUUUCCCCUUUUUAUUUUCCCAGUCAAAUUAUACAAAGAUUCAUCCAUAUCUAUUCAAUACUUAGACUACACGGAAGGAAACCUCAGAGUCAGAGUCCGUGGGCUUGAUUUCGUAGACAAAAUCCGAUUUUUGUCCAUAAAAAUCGAGUCUUUGUUUUCAAAUUUUUGCUCAAAAAUCAUCUCCUGGAACCCAAAUUUCGGAUCAAUUCGAAGCUUUAUAGAAACAAAUGACGAUCGAAAGCCCUAAUCCGAUCGAGAAGAGGGGAAAUCGCAAGAACAAGCAGGUUCUCGAUGAAAAGGUCCCUCUUUUGCCCACCAAACAGGAGGAAAAUGGUGCGUUUGACGAGUUCAACGGGGCCUCCUUCGCCGGCGCCGUGUUCAAUCUAUCGACAACGGUCGUCGGCGCCGGGAUCAUGGCGCUUCCCGCCACCAUGAAGGUGCUAGGGUUAGUGCCGGGGCUCCUUCUGAUUGUAUUUGGCGCCUUCCUCACCGAGGCCUCGAUCGAGAUGCUCGUCCGAUUCAGCCGCGCCGGAAAGGCGGUCUCCUACGGGGAAGUCAUGGGGGACGCAUUCGGGAACGUCGGCCGGACGCUGCUUCAGAUCUGCGUCGUCGUGAAUAAUAUUGGAGUGAUGAUUGUGUACAUGAUUAUUAUUGGUAUACACACUCUCAUUGAGAUACAUAUCUUUACUUUCCUAAAGCUUUUCUUAUAGGUGUUUAUAUCAUUGUUAUCUACCUUUCUUACUUUCUCUGCACAAUUUAAUUGAUUUAGCAAUUGCGUGUCGCUAUUAUAUAUAGCAUUUUCUACUCCAUCAGCAAUAGUUAGGUGUUCUGCAAGCAAAAAACCAAGAGCUUUUGAAGCUUUUGUUUGCGCUAGGAAGCUGGAAUGAGUUUUUGGCUUUUCAGGCUUGUGCUACUAGCAGUAGCAAGAAGCACUUUUGUAGAAGCUCCAGCUGUACCGAACAGGCCUUGAUUAGUUGCUAGUCGUCUAGUCGUAGAUUCUAUUGUUGCAUCCUAGAACAAUUUAAAGAGGUUAUUUAUGUUCCUUAUUACUUAAUUUGCUUUUGAGGUUCUUCUUAGUGAAAAGCCUUAAUAGUAUCCUAAAUUCUUGCUUCACGUGGAGUGUUCUUGCCUUAACUAGCCUGAAGCACUAUUUACUUUCUUAAGCAUGUUUCUUUUUGAGUUGCUAUCAAUAAUUAUGCUGUUUUAGGAAGUUGAGUGUUGUUGCUUUCUUCAUAUAAGAUAUAUAUAUAUUUUUUUUUAGGUUGAAACUAUCUGCUUCUUUAAUUACUGACCUAAGCUGUAAUCUUAAGGUGAUGUGCUAUCUGGAACUUCUUCUAGUGGUGAACACCAUUUUGGUGUCUUGGAAGGAUGGUUUGGGGCACAGUGGUGGAACAGCCGUUUCUUUGUUCUUCUAGUGACCACACUUCUAGUGUUUACUCCACUUGCAACCUUCAAGCGUGUAGGUAAGUGUAGCUGCGCUUUGUCCCUAGAUGCCUUGGACCGUCCUAUAAUUGGAGGGACCGAAAGCAAAACAAAAAUAAAAGAAACAGAAAAAACAUAAAAAUGCCAUGCAUGAGCUAUUACCUCCUUAUUUUCUCAGACUCACAUCUUGGGUUUUCUUUCUUGUCUUGCAGAUUCGUUGAGAUACACAUCUGCCGUAUCGGUUGCACUUGCAGUUGUUUUUGUUGUAAUUACUGCUGGAAUUGCUAUUGUGAAGUUGAUAAGUGGAAGCAUUAGCAUGCCAAAGUUGUUUCCUCAGCUACCUGAUUUGGCUUCCGUCUGGAACCUUUUCACAGCUGUUCCGGUUCUUGUCACCGCUUAUAUCUGCCAUUACAACGGUACUAAAGAUAGAAUUGGCUAUGUAAUUUUGGCACGACAUAUGUAGGUCCAUCAGAAAAGUAUAAUCUGUCACACGCUUAGCAUUAUCUAUUUCUUUUCGUAUCAUAAAUCUUAGGUGAAAUUUGUACUGAGACCCUAAUAAUAGGCCAUUUUGAGAGAAAUUUCUGAACUUAUUUUUUUGAUCAACACCGAAAAAAAUAAAAAAGAAACAAAGUUAAUUGUUUAUGUGUGUGGGUAGGGGUGGGGGUGUCUAGAACUUCACCUAUCAUAUUUCUCCAUUUAAUGCUGUUCGCGAUAUUUGAAGUAUGAUUUUUCACUUUGCAGUUCACUCAAUAGACAAUGAGCUGGAGGAUUCUUCCCAGAUAAAACCUAUCGUGCGCACAUCACUUCUCCUCUGUUCAACUGUAUAUAUUACCACAAGCUUCUUUGGCUUUCUUCUUUUUGGUGAUAACACCCUCGACGAUGUACUCGCCAACUUCGAUUCCAACCUUGGCAUCCCCUACAGCUCGGUUCUCAAUGACGCAGUUCGAGUUAGCUAUGCUGUCCACCUAAUGCUUGUAUUUCCCAUCAUAUUCCAUGCUUUGAGGCUUAACUUGGAUGGCCUCCUCUUUCCCUAUGCAAGGUCUUUAUCUUCUGAUAACUGGAGAUUUGCCCUAAUUACUGCAGUACCUCUUUUAGCCAUUUUCUUGGCUGCGAACUUUAUACCCAGCAUAUGGGAUGCCUUCCAAUUUACUGGUGCGACUGCUGCUGUUUGUAUUGCCUUCAUUUUCCCUGCGGCCAUUACUCUCAGGUUAGUUCUUGCAGUUCAUCGGGACCGUGUUAUACUAUCACCUUCUCUUUACUUGUCUGAAGUCAUUCUAGUUCUUUCUUGCAAGCCUAAAUUUUCUGCUAUUGAGAGCUUCCUCUCUUUGCCGACCACUUUUCAGGGACCGCCACGGCGUUGCAACGAGAUGGGAUAAAGUAUUGUCUGUUUUUAUGAUUGUUCUCGCCGUCCUGUCAAAUGCAGUUGCUGUGUAUAGUGAUGCUUAUUCCCUAUUUAAGAAGAGCAAGGGCUCCCAGUCUUAAACUACACGUAUCCUCUUCAUAGUCGAUAAAAUUUGUGGUGUCUAGUAGCUGCCAUGCAUAUGUAUGUUGAUAAAACUGUAUUUUAGCACAAUAAGUGAUCCUAGUGUAAUUAUGUUACGUGAGUUUAAUCAUUUAUUUAGUUAACUCAACCUUGCAGGUUGAGUUACAUCCUCCACUGUGUGGUAGGAUGCAUGUAUUAUCUUUAGGUUUCGGUAAGGGUUUUUAUGCAAUCGAAAGUAUUAAGACAUGUAUAUGAUUCCAAGUUUGGGUGUUGUAAUAGAAGUUUGAUUUGGAAUUGUAAACUUGGUUCUAUUAUUUUGGUUUUUUUUUUUUUUUUUUUCUGUCACUUCACCUCAUUGUUUUAGAAGGACAUUUUAUAGAAUUUUGUUUUUGUUUUUUUUUUAACACUCCUACAAAUGCAAAAUGAUGAGAAACUUGGAUCUGAAACUGAUGUGGAUAACAAACACAUAAUGGUCUUCAAAGUUCUCUGAUUGCCUUCUGUUGAACUGGGGCUGGCAUUUGACAAUUAAGAGCUCUCUGUUUUUUCUUAACUAUUGUAAAUAUUCUUGUUGUUUAAAUUCACAUUCGACCUUAUUUUCGCCACUUCUUUAUCUAGUAAUUUAGAGCAUUAUUUUUUAUUCCCGUCCUUCUUUGUCGGUGCUUGCUUUCGUCCAACUACUUGUUUAGCCUAGAAUAAUUUGAGUUUAAAAAAAAAAAAUAGAAGCUUUAAAGUUAUCAAUCAGAAACAUCAAGUAUCCAUUUUGAAAUGGUGGAAUACAAUUGAGCGUAACUCAAAAUAUCGUAUAAGUUCACAUAAAUGUUUAGUAAGCAGGCUUUGAGUGAAAAAGUUAAGCUAGACUUAGGUGUUUAAGUUAGGCCAAUUUUACUUCUUCAUGUUUUAAUUAAAAAAAUAAAAAAAUAAAUUUAAUUCGAAUAAAAUAUCUAUUGAGUUCGGAUUCAACUUCUAAUCCAAUCUCCUAGACCGGAUUGGAAAAAGAGCUGAGUGGGGCGGAAAUCGGAAUCAGAGUGAGACUCCCGCAUACGAAAUAUCUACAAAUAGAUUUAUCCAUUCCGAUUCCGAUUUUAUGGUGGAAGAGAAUCGAACCAAACACGCCCUUAUUAUUAUUUUGAUAUUAUUUUUUAUGUUUAAUGUUUUUAAAUUACUAUUUGAAGGUCUAUGGUUUGAAAGGUAAUAUUAAAAACCAGUGCUGUAGAGACAGAUAUCGUUUCAUUUAUAAUAAAAAAUUAGUAUUUAAAUUUGUGAUUUUUAAUGAAUUAUAUUAUCGUUUGAAAAGCUUUAUUAUGAUUGUUUUUAAUGAGGCGGUGUAUGAGAUAUACUUAUACACCAGGUGCAAGCAACAAUUUCCCCUAUUUACAGUAGUUUUUUUUUUUUUUUUAACUUAAACUUAUUUGGUCAAAUCUUCAAUUCCGAGUGGGAUUCAAUUUCGACUCACCGUAGGAUUCGACUUCACCAAAGCCUAUAAAUAUAUCCCCUCAAACCAAUCCUUCCCACCGUAGGAUUCGACUUCACCAAAGCCUAUAAAUAUAUCCCCUCAAACCAAUCCUUCCCACCGUAGGAUUCGACUUCACCGAAGCCUAUAAAUANUCCCACCGUAGGAUUCGACUUCACCAAAGCCUAUAAAUAUAUCCCCUCAAACCAAUCCUUCCCACCGUAGGAUUCGACUUCACCGAAGCCUAUAAAUAUAUACCCUCAAACCAAUCCUUCGCAUUCUCUUGUCUUCUGCGUCUUGGCUCUCUCCCAUGGCGAAUUUCAAUUUUCCUGAUCGCAUCGUCGACGAUCCCUCUCCUCCUUCCCUGCAGUGCACAGAGCUAGGGUUUGGUGCCAUCGAUUUGAAUGCUGAUCCCGAUUGUGGUUCAGGAGGCGACGAUCUCUGUUCUCCCUCGCCACGGUGCAUGGAGCUAGGGUCUGGUGCCAUUGCUGGGACAAUCGAUUUAAAUGUGGAUCCCGGUUAUGGUUCCCCGCCGAGGUGUGUGAAACUAGGGUUUGGUGCCAGUGCUGGGAUAAUUGAUUUGAAUAUGGAUCCUGAUUGUGGUUCACGAGUCGGCGAUCCCUGUCCUCCCUCACUGCAGUGCACGGAGCUAGGGUUUGCUGCUGGUGCUGGGAUAAUCGAUUUGAAUGUGGAUCCCGAUUGUGGCUCCCUACCGAGGUGCGUAGAGCGAUUCGAUGUGAAUGCGGAGGUUUCUGAUUCUGAUUUCGAUUUGAAAGCAGAGGUUUCUGAUUCUUGUGACCUCUUUGUGGGGCGGAGGAGCCCCGCCUCUAAUUCGAUCGCGUUCUCUAGAGCACGGUUCAGCAUUGUGGAGGCUUUGGAGGUCGGCAAAAUUGACUCCUAUUUCGGUUCAGAGGAGUUCUCUCGUGCGCUAUCGGGUUUCGCCGCCCUGCAGCCGAUCUCAAUGGCGCUGCCGUUUGAUCAUUCGACGACCCGGGACGAGGAGGAGGAAUGCCGCACGCCGAUCGAUCGAGAAAGCAGGCUGGCAUUCGAAGUCACCAGCUGCCCGCCGGCUCCGAAGAAGCCGCCAAGAGCGCCUUCGUGCAAGCGCAGGCUGCUGGAGCUGGAGCUCGUAAGCGUGAGGCUCGAAGAGAUCGAGAGUUGGCUCCGGUCCAAGGAAUGCGGCGCGAAGAGGCCGCGGCAGCCGCAGAGUGGUAGCUUUUAGCAGUUCGUUUUCUUCUGCGAUGAUACUGUGUAGGUGUAGCUUUUCUUGAUGUUUAGUACAUGUUUUAUGUAUGUAACGGACAAGUAGAUGAGUGAUACUCGGCGGUUGUUAACGAACCAGUUAUUGUUUGGUUAUUUUACUUAAAGAUUGGUGCUUUGCUAUUAAUCUAAGUUUAAACAUUUCAAACUUUGUUCUGCUUGAUGUUUGCUUUAAAGAGACCGUGAAAUACAUCCUUAGAACAUAUAGCAAUGAAAACUGCUUUCUAUUUUUUUUUCCAUUUUUUGUGAUGCAGCAAACAGUUUAAGCCAAAUUGAAUGAAACUUUUUGCCUCUUCCCACCACAAAAAAAAUCUACUGUUAUUAUAUCCUCUACUAAAUCCAUAAUAAUCCCGCAAUUAUUUUUUUUUUUGAUUAAACAGGGAUUUACCCUAUUUUUGGAGUACAGUGGAACAAAGAGUAAAAUCAGCACAUACAGAAAAAUGAAUUACAUAAGUUAAACCCACAAUCCAAACUCAAUCAUCCCCCCCAGGUGGAUCUCCAGAACUGUACUUCAGCCUUAAUGGAUUUUCCCAUUUCUUCGUGCGUGACUCGUCGAUUGCGAAAGAUCCUCGAUCCCGCAAUUAUUAAUAAUUGCGAAAGAUCCCGCAAUUAUUAAUACCUCAUUAAACGAAGUGCUAUCUUCAAUUAAAUUCAUUAUAGUCCACAAUUAAUACCUCAUUUAAUGAAGUGUUUUUAGCUAUAAAACUUUCAGCGUAUGCACCCCUUAAUUUGGGAGGGGCAGAACUCAGUGAGAAAAUACAAUGAACAGUAUGGUCAAAACUUUGCACAUCCUCCUCCACUGCCUACCAUUCACCAUCUCCCUCUCCUCGCCACAGUCUCUACAGCUUAGAAUGAUCAACAGUGACUCAAUUCGCUCUCCUCUCUACCCUGGAAACCUCACCAGUGAAGAGCUCAUGAUACGGCUGGCAAACCACUCAACUCUUCGAGCUCAACACGUCGAACUAACCCUCUCUGCACCGCAUGCUAGCUACGAUACGAUGCGUCUCCGACCGCACGUCUUUCCCACACCUAGCAACCUGUAUCUGGUGGAAGUCCAUGUCGGCACGCCUGCACAUUCGCGCUCGAAUCUAAGCUGUUCUAUUGCCAAUAUGGAGAUAGGUUACAGGGAAAUAGAGCAGGAGGUUAAUGGUUCAAGACCUUUGAUUUGUCUCUGAUACCAUAAAGAAUUUGGCUACUUUUCAUGAUCCUCCAAAGAUGAUACAACAAUGGUUAAAUAACCAUUUACAUACAUGCCCUAAUAAAUCAAGGCCUAAUCUAAGCCUUAAUUUUAGAAAGACAAUCGUGUGAUUAAUUGUCUAAGAAUGAAAAAAUUCCUAAGAAAGAAAGUAAAAGAUGGAUAUAAAUAAACUUACAAAUCAUAUUUCCAAUCUAAUUGUUAAUAUUUAUAUCGAUUCUCACAGAAUCAUUAAUCUUUGAUGCAAAAUUGCAGUUGUUGCCCUGGAGGUCAUCUAUUUUGAUUGCUACCGGUUUUUGUUUAGUAUUUUUGCCCUGGAGGUCAUCUAUUGUCAUCUAUUAAUAUUUCCAAAAUUAUUAAUCUAAUCAUUAAUAUUUCACGUAGAACUCGGGAAACAUAUUUUUGUUCCUCAAAUGAACAUUUUUUUGUUUCAGUAUUUGGUCAGAGGUUAAAGAAAAGUUUUGUUAGAGGGUUAUAUUGAUGAUCUGUAGCAUUUAAACUGAUUUAACAAUGAUAGAAUAAUUUUGGAAUCAGAACCCAUCAUUUCUAAAAUUUACCAUACACAGUAUCAAGUGGACACAAAUGAAUAGUGUAAAAAAAAAAAAAAAAACACUUGUAAAAGUAGACAAGAAGAUUCUCCUAACAUCAAGUUUAUUGGUUUUGAUCUACAUAACUAAUAUUGGAUUUUUAAACUAUUUUACCUGUUAACGAACAAUAGCUACAUAUUUUUCAUAUAGAAACUAUUUAAAAUUUACAGAUCAUAGCUAACUAUAUUUAAAUUUUAUUUUUUAUGUAACUCUUUACGCUUCAGAAAUUCAGGGAUAUACGCAGUAGCAUGCUUAAUAAAUUCAACCGAAUUCGGCAAUUUUUGAUGUAUCGUCACCGACUUUAUAAUCGGGUGGUCUGAGGCCACCGACUUGUACACUCCAUCCACCCAAAAAAACCCGUCCCUUGCACCGUCCCGAGCUUUUCUUCCUCGGCGCCCGAAGUUCAAACCCCUCCUCCUCCCCUUCGCUCUCCUUCAAAAUCCCGUUCAAAAUGAAGGUUCCCAUGGGUCCUCCUCCUCCACGAAACCCUAACCCUAAUGCUAACCCUGAUCGCGAACCCGAAUUGUCGAACGCGGAGCGAUCGCUCGGCGAGGCCCCGCAACCCAGCGCCCUGGAUAAAUCUGGCACCGACGAGGAGAGUAACGCGCCGCUCGAGGAGUCGGACAAGGAGGAGCCCCACCAAAACCCUAACCCUAACCCUAGCUCGAGCCCCUCGGAGCGGGGUGGGAAAUCCCCAGUACCCUACUCGAUCCCGCCGUGGAGCGAGCCUCCUACUCACCGCUUCUUCCUCGAGGUUCUCAAAGAUGGAUCAAUCAUCGAGCAAUUAGACGUGUAAGGGUUUCGUAGCGCUUCUUUAGCCAUAUUUCCUUUAUGGAAUUAUUAUUAUUAGUUUGUUUUCAAGUUUCUGUUCUUCUACUGUACCUUCUCGUACUCUACCAUUUCUUUCUCUGUUUUUAGGUUGUUUUUGAAAGAAAUUAUAGCUAAUGAUGCAGGAAACCAUAUUAUUGACUGUCAUAUUCCAAUCGAUGUUCAAUUUGGAAGUAUCAUAUGCUCGGUUAGUGAGAAUAAUGAUGGUAUUCUUACUAAACAAUAGUAAUGAUGCAGGUCUAAGAAAGGAGCGUACAUGUUUGGACGUGUCGAUCUUUGUGAUUUCAUUUUGGAACAUCAAACAAUCUCUAGAUUCCACGCAGGUUCGUGAUAUCUUGAUAUUUUUCAUGAUAUUUGGCGUACUUGGAGUAAAUUCACAUUAUUGUGCAUAAUAUAUCCUGUUUCAACCCUAAAUAUUAAUUAUAGGUGCUUUUGCCAAGUAACUUCAAGACAUUACCACAAGUUAGUCUUGGUAUUCUGAUUUCUUUUAAUGCAGAAAUGGACAAUGUUUGAGAUAUAAGCAUAUGUUUCUGCCCAACCUUUUUUUUGUAUUUUGCUUACACGACGCUUUGGCUGUAGCUUUGUGGAAUUUAAUUUGGAUUUACUAUAUAUAUAUGUAUAGAACUAUAUGUUAUCUAAGGAUUACAAAUGAUUAGUAUCAUGAAAAAAUGUUGUUGAUGUCUACACUAUUAAAGGUUAUUUAUCUUGUGUAAAUAUCUAAAUGUUCUUAUUCCAAAUGUUUCACCAGUUCUGCAGUUUAAAAAAGACGAAGUCUUACUUUAUGAUCUUGGCAGUACGCAUGGUACUUCUGUUAAUAAGAAACAGGUAAAAAGUACCUAUAGAGCUUCAUGUCUUACCAUUUAUGUAAAGCUUUACAGUUGCAUCUUUGAUAUUGGUAUAUUCGUUUUUGACAAAAUUACGUCUUUUCUUUAGUCAAUGAAUCUUAGAACUUGUCUUAUAUCUUGACUACAUUUUGUCUGACCUGUCUUCUCUCGUGCCUUUAUACCAAAUAUAGAAUUUGAUUACUGGUUCUAGUUAUUUAAUUUGCUUUGCAUGCCUUCUCUGUCAAUUUUAGGUUAAGAAGAAGGUGUACAUGGAAAUCCAUGUUGGUGAUGUUAUAAGAUUUGGCCAGUAAGUUCAUUUAUAAUAAUCUAAUUUUAGUAUAUAGUUUGCCUUUCUCCCUUUCGAUUUCUCGUGGUCUUCACUUUGUAUCUGCCAAAACAAUCAUGAACAGAUUGUAUAGCUUUUCCAUUUAUAUAACUGUAGUGUUACAUGUUUUUGACUAGAUGUAACUUUUUAUACUUAGUCAUGGUUUAAGAACUUUAUGCUUUAAAGUUCUUUAUCUGUGGUGUCAGUUCUUAGUGGAAAGAAUCCUGUUCAAACUAGUGAAUCAUGUCGUGAUUUUCCAGAAGAUGUGUUAUUCUAGCUGUAUUUUUUUCAGUGUUCAUGAUGCAAUUGAUGUUAUUGAUAGCUGUAUUUUUUCGGUCUUCACGGUGUUUUUAGUAAGUUAUAGCUGAGAACAACAAGUGCAAGUCAAAUAGUAAACCAUACUAUUUUGUCUAGUUAGUCUCAUCUUUUGCUGGUUUCAGUCUUUCUUCUCAGGUUCCUCAUUCAAAAUCUUCUCCUAUCAAGUAUAACAACCUUUCCUGGAGCUCUGUUAGACAUGGAGUCAUUCAACUGUUUUAAUUUGUUUAGCAAUGGUCUGCAAAUUUAAGGCUUAUAUGGGCUUUUACCUUGAAAAACUCUAAUAUGCUUGCCCGGUAUCUUGAUAUGCAAAGAAUUACUAAUAACCUUCUUCUUUAUUCCACUUUCAACAGGUCCUCGCGCUUGUAUAUUUUCCAAGGACCAUCUGAGCUGAUGCCGCCGGUCAGAUUGUGAAAACCUUUCUAUUUGAUCUGUAUUAUCUUUUUAUCAAAUCUCCUGAAAUACUUAAGACCCAGUGUAAUAUUGAGGGUUUUCUUUGUGAUAGGAGGGUGAUUUUCAGAAGUUGCGAGAGGCUAGGAUUCAAGAAGAGUUGCUUGAUCGAGAAGCUUCGCUUUCACGUGCAAGGGCUGAAGCUUCUCUCGCAGAGGGAAUCUCAUGGGGCAUUGCUGAGGAUGCAGUUGAAGAAGCUGGAGAGGUUAGUUUUUGAUUCUCUAAUUUUUCCUUGCUUAUGUUCUUAUGGGUCAUGGUGUUAAUAGUUUCAAGAACCUUAAUUUUGUGUGCGCCAUGGUGUUAAUAGUUUCAAGAACCUUAAUUUUGUGUGUGCUUUCCAUGUUUUAUCUUUUUGAAGUCUGGUUCGAAUUUGUUUGAUUCUGUACACUCUGAUGUUCACUGACCAAGCUGUCAUCUCCUAGGAUGAUGCAGAUGAAGUUACAUGGCAAGCAUACAAAGGACAGCUUACUGAACGGCAGGAGAAAACUCGCAGCAAAAUAACAAAAAGAAUGGAAAAGGCAAGUCGACAUUAUUCUAGUUGGAUGAAUUGACCGCUGUAAGAAAUUUCCUUGCACCCGAACAUUGCUUCUAUAGAAUUUGCGGUAUUGUUUCACCUCCUAAACCAAUGAUUGUUUACUUUGAGGAAGUGAAGUGAAAAGACUUUUUAGGCUCUUCUCUUCGAGGGAAGAGUUCUCUUUCGUAAACUGUUCAAAAAUUAGAAUCAAACUUUUAUUAGUCUCUUUUCAAAUCUUGUUAUAUAUGAUGAAGGUUACUUUUAAAAGUUACUGUUUUGAGGCAUAGCUUGCUCCACAAAAUUUUUGUAAAUUUGUUAGAAUUGUGAUCAUACAUGAAGGUAUCAGAAAAUUAUUGUGUUGAAAGCUGUCAGCAUUGAAGCCUUUGGUUUAGAUUCCCUAAUAAGCAUUUCUGCUUUCCUUUGUAAUUAUUUAGCUUACAUGUGAAUAUCCCCAUGGGUUUCUUUUUUAAUCUCAUCUGAGUACAAUUACAAUGUAUUGCUUGACAUAAGGAAGUCUUUGUUCUUCUAGUGUUACUUGUGUUGUAUCAAUCUCAUUAGCUUAGUAAUUCUUCAUUUUCCUUUGUUUUUUUAGGUUGCCAAUAUGAAGAAAGAGAUUGAUGCUAUUCGAUCAAAAGAUAUUGCUCAAGGUGGGUUAACUCAAGGUCAGCAAACACAGAUUGCACGAAAUGAACAAAGAAUAUCACAGGUUUGUAUAGUAUGAUAUGCUGAGACUUCUGUCUGCUUGUUGUUAUAUUCCCCUAUUGGAUCUAAUUGUUACCGUUCUUGUUCAGAUUAUGGAGGAACUGGAGAGCUUAGAAGAAACUCUGAAUGAGAGUAUUCGAGAAAGUUUAGGUGCACGUGCUGGAAAGGUGGCCCAUGGUAGGAAGAAAGGAAGUAUUGAGGAUGAAGAUGACAUCUUGAGGUAACUCAACCUUUAAAGAAAUCGCCUUUUUAGGAGUAAUUGUGACAAGAUUUGUUGGGGAUAAAAGCUAUUGCAUGCCUACUAAUGCUAGAUCAUUCUUUUAUCUUAUGCCUCUAAAUAAUAUUUCUCAUGAAUAUAGAAUCACUGAAAGGAAUAGUGAGAUCAUAUUAUAUGUUUCCAGAUCCUGGGAACUACUUACAAUAGAGAAGACAUUCAUGAAAUUUUUUCCAGCUUCAUACGUAUGUAAAUAGUAAAAAAGCUUUCAGUUGGAUUGAGGCCAGGUAGUGCUGGUUAGAAAAACUUGAGACUAGUGUGGCUUCAUGGUAUAUGCGUGUAGGAAUAUGGGGCCCUUUUCUAUUAAUUUUGGGAAUGCUAAUAUGGCAGUCUUCUCAAGUGAGCUCGAGAAGAAUGAUUUCAUUUGUGGAUGAACAAGUUUUAAGCCUAAUUGACAUGCAAGUGUGUACUGGACUCUGCAUUAUUGCAAAAUCUACACCCUUUUCUUGUCAAUAGUUACUGCAACACUUAAACAUCUAAACUGAUUGUAGCAGAUGCAUUCUGGUUGAAAUGAUCUUCCUUAAUUUAUUAAUACUGGAAUUUAGUAUUAUUCAUCACAUGGGGACUUUUCAAGUGGUCUAGUCUUCCUUCUACUUAACAAAUCUGUGAAUUGUCCAGUGAUGAUGACGAUUUCUAUGAUCGGACAAAGAAGCCAUCUUCUCAAAAAUCUAGUGAACAGCAGUCUGUUGAAACGGCCGAUACACUUCUUGACAAGAAGGAUGCUAUUACCGGUGAGAUGGAAGACAAGAGGAAAUUGCUUGAAAAUGAGAAAAAUAAACUACCUAGUAGUGCAAAGAACAAAGAAGGAAAUGACAGUGGUGAAAACAAUGAAGAUGGUGAUGACCUUGAUGCAUACAUGACCGGACUGUCAUCUCAACUAGGUGAGAAUCCUUGAAUGUGACUGUUGUGAGUUUUCUUAUUUUAUCUUUCCCUGACUGGCUGUUAUUUUUAGGAUUUUCUAUCCUCUUGCAACAGUUUAAUUAGUUUCUGGAUUAUCUUGCUAAAGGGCCUGACAAGGAUUGUUCAUUCGCGUAGUUCUGCUUUGUACUUGCCCCCCAAAACACUUAAUUUUUGUUGCUAAAAAACGCCAGAGUCGAGUCUAGGUACCACUUUUUAUUCUUUUUUUUUGAGAUGUUUGUCUUUUUUGUUUUUUUUUUUUUUAGAUUUACAUAAUUUAGGGGAAAAAAAGGGAGGUCAGUGAUUUCCAUGAUAAUUAUAUGCAAAAUUUCAGUAUGACUUCUGCGUAAAGCCAUACCCUUUCUCUAUCUUGCAUUUGCUGCAACGACUAAUGCCGUACAAUAUCGUGCCUUCCUAGAGGAACAUGUAUGAUUUCGUUUGUUGUUCUGAUUCAUAUGCAGGAAAUUAAUGUACAUAAUAAAGUAUGAGUUAAGCUACUAUUGGAAGCACGAACUUCCAACUUUUGGACCCUUGGAUCUCUAGAGUUUACUAAUUGGAUCCAAGGGCCUAAAAGUUGGAAGUUCGUGCUUCCAAUAGUAUAGUAGCCCCACAUAUAAAGUAUAUCAAGAUAUAUGAUAUAAUAUAAUGUAUAUCGUACUGUUAUAGAUAGAAGAUAGAUAGAGUUUCAUAUUCUUUUAUUUUUAUUUGUAGGUUCUGCAAGAGCACGCAUAUCAUGAAACUUUGAUGUUGUGUGUUCCUUCAUCCUUUCACUAACUUCUUUCUACCCAUAAUAUUUGUAGUGCAUGACAGAAUUGCACAAAUUCAGAAGGAACUGUCCGAUCUUCAAGCUGAGUAUGACAAGGUAACCUACUUGCUGAAAAUAGCUGAUCCAACAGGAGAAGCUUCUUGGAAAAGGGGUCUAAAAGCACAAGAACCAACGGCUGAAUCCACUCCACAUCCACAACCAUUAUCCAAGGAAAAACAAAUUGCUUUGCCUGAAACGGCUGUAGUAAAUCCACAACCUAAAGAACCUUCCCAUUCGAAACAAGUGGACCAGAAUGCUAAAGAAGGUAGCGAUAUUCCCAAUCUAAAAGAAAAUGGGGUAUCCGCAUUUAGCUUAACAAAACCUCAAUGGCUUGGUGCCAUGCGGGAUACGAAACCUGAAGAGAAUGAAAUGCAAGAGGUAAAAGCUGAUGCAGAAGAGCCUGAUAACUUUGUGGAUUACAAAGAUCGCAAAAAGAUUCUUCAACAACUCGAUACUGGAAAAGAAAUGGAAAGCACCACUGCUGGUCUUAUUAUACGUAAGCGGAAGCAUUUAGAUAGUCCUGAAUCUAAUGUAGAUAAAGUCCAGAGAGCGGGAGACUCAUCUGCUGGAGAAGCUGAAACAUCAGCUGCUGAUGCUGUGGCCCUACUGCUCAAGCAUAAACGAGGUUACCAUGCUUUAGAAGAUGAUGAACAGAAUGGGAAUCAACUCAAAACUGGGCAGAAAAAGGAGAAAAAAGAAAAAUCGCAACCGAAACGAGUGUUUGGACCUUCAAGACCCGAUUUUCUUAACAAUAGUCCAGAUUAUGAGACUUGGGUGCCCCCUGAAGGUAUAAUUCGAAUAAAAAUUUUGAAUAUAAAGCUGACUGUACUAACUAACAAUAACUAUGAGAACGUAACAUGCAGGACAAACUGGUGAUGGACGCACCUCUUUGAAUGACCGCCUGGGUUAUUGAUAAGCUCCAUUUGCUCUCAUCAGGGAUAACUCUGCUGGGGUAAGUUAUUGUGCUUUAUUAUUUAUCUCCUACCUUUGAAGAUUGUUUAUGUUUUUGUAGUGUGGUGCAUUUAGGUGUUAAGUAGCUCUAUUUUGUGACCUGUAUGUUAGGAGAAAACAAAGAAAUCCUGAUGAAGCCAUUGCUCCCAACUAUUGAACCUCUGGAGGGCCAUUGCAGUGAAACAGAACCGUAUAAAGGCUGCUGAUACAAAUGGAUCAACAUGCCUGUAGCAUACAGCGAAUGAAGACGUUUAAACACUUGGUCACAUUUGUCACAGUUCCUAACGGGUCAAAUGAGGAUUCUGGCGGAUAGACAUAGGUAUUUAAGCUUUUCUCUGGAAAUAUUGUGCAAAAUCAAACACCACAGGCAGAAAACUUCUCGUUUAGCUGCAGUUAAUUCCGUUUUAUUGUAACGCAUAAAGAGAGGUGAGGGUUGGGCGCUCGAAAAGAGUUCCCAGUUGGCACGUGCUGGAGCAUAUGGUUCUGUUUUUGAGUUGCUGCCAUUGUAAAUUAAGGCAAAGCUGUUUUCCCCACUUAAAUUCUUUUCUGCUGGGAAAGUGAAAAACUCAUAGGGGAGUGCCUCCUCUGCAAUCAUGCGGCAUUGCACAAACACGGUAAGACUUGUAUUGCAGGCAGAGUACCUUCCCUCUCCUUUCUGAUCAUUUAGAAGUAACUUAUCAAGAGAUAAAAAGGGAGCUUAAAACAAAAUUUACAUCUCAUACUGCUUGCGAUUUGCUUUACCCUUCUCUUAUUACACCUUUCAUUAUUUCAAAAGUUGCUGAACAAAGCCUCAAGUGAUGAUUACAUAGUAGAAUUAUUUAAAUAUAAAAACAAAAUUAGCAGAACACAAAAAUUAAAAGUAAUUUGUUACAUCUGUAUCUCAACCUGAAAGAACCGCAUAAAUAUUACUACAAAAAAAUUUUACCAAGUAAUGUAGGGAAUGGAAAAUAUAUCUAUAAUUUAUAAAAUAAAUGGUGAAAAAAAAUGCUGAGAAUUUUCUAAUGCAUUUCCAUGGUUGAAGAGGCCUUAAUAUUGUGGUAUCUGUAAACGGAUAUCGUGCAAAGUACCUACUUGUCUGAGUAGUUACCUGUUUAACUCUUCCGCAUUUUGGUGGAGAGAUUUCCACCUCGGAUCCAGUGAAAAAAUUAGUUUAACUCCCACACGGCUUCAUCUUGUUUGGCUUUGCCCCUGCCUUUGGGGCGACCAAACUGUCUGGCAUUUUUACUUGACAAAAACUUCAGUCCGGCUUGGAGUGUGAUCUUUUUUGGGUCGACAUUCUGUGGUCAAAAUUGGCAGUAUAUUCGAGAGUUAAAAAUACUACAUGGAGAUGCCAUCAACAGAUUGUAAUAUCAAGAAAAAGACUUGUUCUUCAGUAAGUAAAAUAAAGAAAGGCAAAAAAGAAUCGAACUCACAACUGUAAAGGCUUGUGUGUAUAAAUAAAUAGUAGGAACCAAGUUCAGAAUCAUCCGUGCAAGAGAAACAUGAUAACCAACAGUAAGGCACACACCUUUGGCACUGGAGAGACAGUACGCCGAUGUUUAAUAGAAAAUCCGAACUUUGAAUGCGCCAGCAGAACAGGCUGAUUAUCAUCUGGGUGAUUACCCUGCACGGCAAAAUAUAAAUAUGCAACUAGUCAGCUUGUGGGGAUAAUUAAAUGGAAAGAACAAACCAACUGUCAAUAUCUGAUACAAUGAAACAUAGAGAUGUAUACCAGAAUGAUAGGAUACUGCAGCAGGUCAACAGCAUCCUCUAAAGUGAUUGAAUCAACAUCUUUGACCUGAAAUAGGCAGAUCAAAAUAGGUGUGAUAACGAUUUCUACUUAAAAAUCAAGUAGAAAUCAGAAAACUUGUCCUCACCGUCUUUUUCUUAAAAUAAAAGGAGAAGAUUAUGUAGCAUCUUUACUUGAGCUUUUCAACAUGCAACUGAAUGUUCAUAAAUUAUUUGCUUUCUUUAGUUUCAAAACUAAUAAAUUCUGCCUGGCAUUAUCCAUUCUAGGUUUAUUCGAAUACUGCAUUCUUCUUCCUCCAGCUCAAAUUUCAAAUUUAGCUAAAUACACUUCAGCGGGGAGGGGGGAAAAAAAUUUGCAUCAAGAUCUCAGGACAGUAGCUUUUUUGACAAACACAAAUUUAUCCACACAAUAUACACCAAGAAAUAUUCACGUGAAAAAUAUGUUGCUAGCAAACCUCGGACACAGAAGCUCUUUUUGGAGUGUACCCCUUUUUGUCAUCCCCUAGCUGGACAUAGUAGCCAUAAGGACCCUUUUUCAAGAAGACCUGGAGAACAUAGUGAAAGGAAGCUAUUAAUAUAAAAGGAGAAAAAUGUAAAAAGAACGAAAAAGGUUCAAGGGGAGUAAAGCACUUCAACACCUUUUGCUUAGAACCUGGCAUAACACCUAGCAAUUUAGGUGGAAACGAUUUAUCUGGUUUCUCAGAAGUGUCGGUUUCGUCAUCCUCAGUAAAUAAUGUGCUGGCAAUAUACCUGUAUAAAAGGUGCCAGUUGAUAAGAAAAUACUAAUAAAUACACACUAAUCAUCAUGAAAGGAUAUAGAGAAGGAAAAGAGUACAUACUUGCACUUGGGAUGUUGGUCACAACCUAUAAAAUAACCGGCGCCAAACCUACUGACCUUAAAUCUCAAGGUUCCUUCUGAACAACUGCAAAGUUCACGAGGGUAAAAUAUUAUCUUAUGCUUUGAGUCGAGUAUGUAGCAAUAAAACAUGUUUUUGCUGAAGAGACAUCAUUCCAGAACCUAGAAAGUUCAUUAUGCUCUAAAAGAUAAUUUAAUGAACAACUAGUUUCACAAAACUUCACUCUAAACUACAAGGAACCUUACACAAUAACAACUUUACCAGCAACUUAAUCAAAAAAUAUAUCUCAGAAACAAACCUCCUACAAAGAUACAAGCAAGUGAAGAAAUGACCAUACCACAGUAUAAUAAAAAGAUUUUUGUUCGAGUCAAGUAGGAAAGGAAUGAAAUGCUGCUCUUUCAAGAAUUUUGCCUAGUAUGCAGAAGAAACUUAUAUCCUUUUUAUUUUUAUUUGUUUAAAAAACUCCUUUUCAGCAGAAUUACUAUCAUUUCUUGGUUUUCAAAAUCACCCUGCAAGGAAAAUAUUGGUAUUCGUAAAAUUCCAUACUUGGAUGGAAACAAUCAAUUUCUGGAUAUCAAGAUUUGUUCAUCACUGUCAAAAAAUGUGAGCUGAUAACAAUGCCAAGUUGAUGAGAAACAAAAUUACUACUGUGCAUACCGAAAGGCGAUAGUAAUCAGCACUAAUAGAAAGGUAAUCCACGUCACAAACUAUCUAGCACAAAAUAAACUAAACAAUUCUCAUCAUAAGAAAACAGCCAUAGUAGCAAUACCUAGGGCACACCCUGCUAUUAUUAGGAAGGGCAGCAAACAAUAUAUCACUGAAUUUGUCUUCCAGCAUUCUCUCUAUCUGCAAGAAACAAGAUAAUAGUAUACCAAAAAGAGAAAAGAAAAGAAAAGAAAACAAUGCAGAGCAAGGUCAAAACUGUCGACUGAUUAAUAGCAUAGCAGCACCUGUCUUAUAUCAGUUUUACUAGCAAGAUCACAGUACUUGCUGAAGCGUGACCAGUAAUCUUUCGUAAGACCCUUCCACUCUGUUGCCCCAGCAGAGACAUUAUCUAGCUGAUCAAACAACGAAAAAUGAAGCAUAUUAGAAAAAGAUUGCCACUCAUAAUUAGAAAACUAAUACAAGCAGAAGCUGGCAAUAUGCAUAUAUUUUAGGCAAAAGGAUAAGAUAUCCUUUCGCACUAAAUAGUUUUUAUAGAUAAAAUCACUAUCAACACUCGUUUUGUCAUGUAUAUAUAAUCGCUACUUGUCUGGAAUUGUCAAUCAAUACAAAAUUAUAAAAACAUAAAGUUGUUAAUAAUUAGGCAGGGCACACUUAAAACAGAGGCCACAAAAAUGAUGUCCAGUGACAAUUCUAUUUUUGUGAGCAAGAGGUCUCUCAAAAUAGAAACUUGCAAAUUAAGAUUCCACAAUGCAAUCAAUGGAUUAGAGUACUCUUUCAGCAUGUAAUAGAGAUGCUGUAAAGUCGCUUAUACACAAUAAUCAUAAGCACUAAAUACCUAAAAGUUUUUUGCGCCAAUUAUAUAUCUCCAUCAUGAAUACAAGCCUGCGAGAAGAAGUUAUUCCCACAUAUGAAGAAUUUACCAUACUGAUACACUAUCCGUAGUUGCCAUCAAGACGGACUAUUGGACACAAUAAAAUGUCAUCCUGAAUAUUCUAAAUGCUCCAUGUGGGAAUUCUCAUUACAUAGAUAUAAGUCUAAUUCAAGAGUUACUCUUAAUGGCGCAUAACUAAGCUAUGGAUCAGAUUCGAUGAUAUUUUACUUUCUGCGACAUGUUAAGAAAUUGAAGCACUAGGAAACAAGAUUUCACUUCAUUUAUCGUGAAAAAAAAAUGAUUUUAUGAAAAUAUUGUCAUCUAGAUGACUACCAUUAGUUACACAAGAAAAUGCAUAUUCAAAACGCAUAUAUGAAGGUGUCAAGAAAGUACCUCGUUCUCCAUAUCAGCAGUGAAGCUGUAAUCAGCAACCUCAGAGAAAUGGUGAGAAAGAAAUGCUGAGACCUAAAGAUAAUAUUUAGCAGAAACAAGUUAGGUACUACACAUCCAAAAAAGAUGCUGAGAAAUAUAGCAAAAUAAAGAAAAAUAAAAUAUUACCUAUACAAAAAGAAUUGAUGACAGAAAAGACCCAAAAAAAAAGAAGCUGAGAGAUAUUGAGAAAAAGCAAAGUAAAAUAUUACUUUCACAAAUGAAUUGAUGACAGAGAAGGGGGAAAAAAUUCAAAAAAACAAAAAGAUAAAAGCUAAAGUUGCCUCUGCCAAAAGACCAAGAUGUCUAUUAAACAUUCAAACAGUGCUAGCCGCCAAAACCAUGAGAACAGACAAAGACUCCUUUGAGGAAGAAUUGAAAAAUCAAUAAACAAAUUAUUCUUAAUUUUUCCUCACUGAAGAGGUUGUGCUAAAGAUCAAUUAGUUAUUAUGGUUAAUGCACGAAGUCAAGUCAAGAAAAGCAUAUUAUAGUAAACUGCAUUACAAGAGCAGUAUAACACAAACAAAAACUGACCCUUCAAAUUAAACAAUUCGGGUGUUGUAUGUUGUAUAUAAGUGAGCAGCAAUAAUAACUGGGAACUAACAUACCAUGCGACCGCGAAACUCAGGAUGCAGAACUCGAUUUUUCAUCGUCACGUAAUUUCUGUCCUGAUUACCACAAGAAGAAUUUGACCUUUUAUACUUGAGACAUAUGUCAUAAUCAAAUAUAAUAGAUGAACUAAAAUAGUAGAAGGUUCAGCUUUACAGAACUCAAAACUUCAACAUGAAAUGAUAUUUCUAAGACAAAAUAAGUUCAUACUACUGUUCAUGUAUUGAUUUUUAUUUUUUUUCGAGAUACUGCUAAUUGUUUCCUAUAAAGCGGCUAAACUGCAAAAAUCUAAAUCCCAGCUCACACACCAAAAUAUACAUCAACGAACAAAACCAUCUUUAUUUCCGUUGGUGCUGGAGCAAAUUUUUUGGGUGGGUCUGUGCUUGGUUAGACAUGUAAUCUCAAGCAGUGUAAUUCAGUAAAUUGAACUUGAUUCUCAUCUCUUCAUUAGCUCUCAGCUUUCUAAUCAGAUGUUCCCAGAUCUCAAGCAGUGGUUAAUAGCAACUAAUAAAGUGUAUUGAAAACUAUUGGUUAGACAUGUAAUUUCAAGCAGUAUUAUUCAGUAAAUUGAACUUGAUUCUCAUCUCUUCAUCAACUCACAGCUUUCUAAUCAGAUGUUCCCAGAUCUCAAGCAGCGGUUAAUAGUGACUAAUAAGGUGUAUUGAAAACUAUGGGCAAGGAAUAAGGGAAUAUCCUACAAUCACACAAACAUAAACAGACAACCAUAUGCUUCAUGAAGCCACGUUGCAUAUCAACACAAGCUCAGGCUAUAAAAAUUUGCAUGUGUAGAAGCAAGUCCCCUUAAAUUGUGCAAAUUAACUACAUGAAUAAAGACCACAAAAUAUCAGCAUUCAGAUGCUACAUGUACUAAACAUUUCUCUGUUUUAUGUAUCUUUCACCUCCUGAAAACAAAUCUCGUUAAUUUUCAAUGUGUGAAAAUUAUUUACCAGAAGUUUUAUUGUAGAUCAAGAAAUUAUAAACACAUCAUGCUUCAAUUCAUUGAUACCAAUCACCUCUGUCAGAAAGCUCAUGAUUGGUAGUCUCUUUUUAUCUCAAUCUGAAAAUCACCAUUAUUAUAUAUACGAGAAAAAAAAUAGGGAGUAAAAGAGACCAAAAUUUAUACUGGAAAGGGGAGAAUUAUGCUACAAUACCAACAAAUAUAACCCUUUGAUAAGCCAAGGAAUUUAAAAAGAUCCAAGAUAGAACAAUUACCUGCAGCACUUUCAUAAUAGAAGCAUAAGUAGACGGUCUUCCAAUUCCAAGUUCUUCUAGCUUUUUAACCUGGACAUGCAAAGCUUUAAAAAUGAACAAAUGGAGUAACUGAAUAUUCUGAACCGGAAAAAACCCUUUCUUUUUUUUUGACAGCAAAAAAUGAAGCAACUGAUGUUUCAUAACAACAAACAAAAGAUAGAAUGUACUGACCAAUGCUCCCUCAGAAUAGCGUGGCGGAGGCUUAGUGUAGUGUUGUCUAAGAUGCACCUCAACCAAAGAUAAAGAAUCCUUAACCUGCAGAAACAAAAUGAUAUACUGGUAAUGUGGUGCAAUAUACGGCCACUCGUACAAAGUAAUGAGCAAUAUCUUACACAUAAAUCCAGCAUUAAAAAGAAAGCCACGUAAUCUAAGUACAAUAUGAUGACGUUGAUCCAACAGAUGCAGUUUGUGGUAAUGGCUGACUAACUACCAAAAUCAUUUUCAAUUUAUGCAGAAUUCAAAUUACAAUGCAUUAAAGAACACUUUGCUGAUUACUGUACAUGCCAAAUCAGUGUAAUGCACAACUUGCCUUUAAUUUCUGGAGAGCCUCAAAAACCUCUUCAUGAAUGCCAUCUUCCACAUUGCUGUUAUUCUUAACUCCUGCUUCUUUGUCCUAAAAUAGCAGAGCAACUUUUGAUGUAUGUCAUAAUUUCUUUUUUAUUUUUGAGAAAUGAAAUACACCGUAAAAAUUAGCUAAAAGUUUUAAUGCAGAGGCAGAUAACAUUAUGCCGAAUGAAAAUGAAAUUAAAUUCUUUUAUUAGCAUAUUCUUUAAUAAGCUGGAAGCUUUUUAAAUUCAAGAAGUUCACCAUGGAUAAGGAUCUUACAUCAAAGUAGAUGCAAAAUAAAAUUUUGAAAAAUGAUAUCGUAUGCUUGGUGAAGGUUCAAAAUUUAACCAAAACACACCUGAUAAACUGCCUGGUAUCCUGGAAAUUCAACUGUUGAUCCCACUGAACGGAAAAUCAUAUCUCCUUCAGGAUUACCAGUAUCAACUUGAAUCUAAAAAUGAAUAAAACAAAGUGAAAGAAACAAGUUCAGCUUAUCAUUUGCUUGAAAAUAAUAUUCGAAAAACAAUCGCUACAAAAAGAAAUGCUCCCAUUCCCAUAGCACUAGACAAAUAUGAGGGUAGAAAGUAAGGAUGUCAAUGGGUAUGGAUACCCGAAAUAUUAUCCGAACCCGAACCAGAACGGGGCGGGUUUACCCGAGCUAAACGGGUAUGGAUUCGGUUAUGGGUAUAGAAAAUAAAAACCCAACGGAUAUGGAUACGGGUAUGGAUUUUGUAUUUACCCGACACGAACCCGAACCCUAACCCGAAUAAAUUAUAUAUAAACAUACUUUAUUUUUAUUUAUUUAUAUAAUAUAUAAAAUAUUUAAUAAUUUUUAUCCCUUAGAUCUUCAUUCAACGGUAGGGAUUUUUAAAACUCGCCGGGUCCGGGUCCAGGUUCAGGUUUCGGGUUUUUGGUCAGGUACGGAUAUGGGUAUGGAUUUUUAAAACCCGCCGGGUUCGGGUCCGGGUACGGGUUUUAAUUUGGUUUUCGGGUUCAGUUUCGGGUUUUUAAAAACCCGACCCGUUGACAUCCCUAGUAGAAAGUAAGCUGGAGCUAAAGACCAAAAACAGGUCAGGAUAAAAUACUACUAGUUGCCAAUCAUCGUACAAAAAUAGUAAUGAGUUCAGACUUCAGAGUAAUAGAAAAGUACAAUUAUAUUAUUCCCCCUGCUAUAGUUAAGCACGGCAUCACAAUCUUUAGCUUAAUAUAUGCUAAAGAUACUGACUACAUAAAUAGAGAGAGAGAGAGAGAGAGAGAGAGAAAGUAAAGCUAGAAUCUAGGUGUCAUGGACACAGACACGGGGCACAACACGACUCCGAAACGGCGACUCGACGACUUCCAAAAAGUUAGGACACGGACACUGCAUAGACAUCGCUAAUAAAAUAUAAUAUUAUUAAUAUAAUAAUAUAUAUUUAUUAGAGUUGAGCUGGAAUACUAUUAAUAGUAUUUGGGCUCUUUUGCUAUUGAUUUUUUAGCCGUUAAAUCUACACUUUAAUCAAUUCUACCAUUUAGAUAAUACUAUUCAACCAACCAACUACCCACUCAACCCUAGGGGGACCACCACUAAAACCUAGGAAACCACUAUCAUCCUAACCCUGUAAUUUUUCAUCCAAGGGUUAAAAACUUAUAGCAAAAGAGCCCAAAUAUUAUUAAUAGUAUUCCAACUCAAUUCUAUUUAUUAUAUAAAAUAUUAAUUUUGCAAAAAUAUUAUUAUAUUUCUCGUACAAAAUGAAAGUUAAUAAAAUUCUCAUUGAUAGUUCAUAUAUUUUAAGAAAAAAAAUUCUCCACCAUACAUAAUCUAUUGACAUUGUCCAAAAAAAUUUAUAUGCAUUUACCAAAAAGGCAAAAUAUUUAUCAUCUUAUAUUACAUAUGCCUAAAAAAAAAAUAAUAUAUAUAUUUAAUGGGAUGCGCCAUGCACCCACGUGGAGCGUAUGCCCAUGGCGUGUCCAUGUCAAACACGAGUUCCACACAGAAGGGCGUGUACACGCAAAGCCUAUAGAAGUGCCUAUGAUACAUAGACUAUCAAUAGCAAAGGAAUAGUACUUACUACCUACUUUUUAGCCUUUGGAUGCCUUGAGUUUAAUGGGGUAAGUGGAAUAGUAUUUGAUCCAAGGGCUACAAAGUUGAUAGUAAACACAUCUACUAUUAAUAGUAGCAUAGAUGGACUUGUAUAGAGUAAAGCUAGAAUACCAUCAAUAGCAAAGGUGUUAAUAGUAGCAUAGGUUAACUUGUAUAGAGUAAAGCUAGAACACCAUCAAUAGCAAAGGUGUUGAUAGUAACAUAGAUGUACUAUCAAUAGUAUCCUAGCUGAACAAUAUAAACAUAUAUACAUAUAUAUGAUUACAAGGAAAAUAGCAAAGACAACUUCAGAAAAUAGCAGAAACCAUAUCUUGUAUUAGACUAACCACAUUAAGGAACAACUUAAAUUAAGAAAUAGAUGUGAGAAAGAGAAGUAGAGGUAAAUAUAGUAUGAUAUAGCAAUUGACUCAUUUGCUUGAAGAACAUGAUUAGAUGGGACUGCGGUGGUGGGAGCAAACAAACCAUAUUGAUUACAGAAGGUUCCAUUUGGCACGCCAUCGUCCGUGUCCAUAUAAGAGUGUACAAUUUUAGAGAAUCAUCAUCAAGUAUUCCAACCAAAGUUGCUGUAAGCAUGAGAACAAGUAAGAACAUUGUCAAUAUUAUGUUGAAAGAGUUGAAUUUGUGCAAAACAACAAGAUGAUGAAUCAAAGGAACUUAUUACAUGGCAGCCUCCUUAUGCUGGUUGGUCUGAUAGCUUCAUGAGCUUCUUGAGCAUUCUUCACCUUUCUGAAGUACUUGCGUAUAUUUUUUGAAGCAUAUUCCUUACCAUACCUGCAAGGGAAAGAAUGAAUUUUCAGUGAAAAGAAUAAAAAGGAAAAUUGAGCAACUAUACUAAAUUACAUCAAAGUUGCAUUACAGGUUAGACUGAAAAAUUACAUAAGUGGUCAGGUUAGGUUAGGUUAGGUUAGGUUUGAGCGGUCUCAGCCUGAACGCAAUUCACUGGUUAUGAAAGAGCCUAAACAAAAACCUGCCCAACUCAAUAUAAGUAGAGAAGCUCUUACAUUCAGUGACUUGCAUCUUCCAAUAACGAUUUAUAAGCAACCCUAUACUACACUUAUACGCUUGUCAUGAUGGGGCAAGUGCAAUGUCUUAAUAAAGUAUCAAAGCUCAGACCUUCAAGUUCCAAAAGCUACAGCGACUGAGGAUAGAACUUCCUAUUUUAGUUCCUCUCCAACUCAACCAUAAGUUGACCUUAAUAAGCCCAUGAAUUCCCGAAUUACAACAGAACACAGAUUCACCCAAUCUGAUAUAUCUACUAGAAAAAAGGAUAACUAUAACAUGUGAGAAGUUAUCACCUUUCUUUUACCAAGGAAUGGAUAUCUUCUGCAGCUUCACUAGAAACCUACAGGAAAAAUGAAAAGAAUUAGAAUAAAGGCAAGCCUUUCAAAAAGAUCAAGUUUUUUCAUAUUAUUUUGGAUCUAAAGUUUGCGAGAUAUAUAACGUCUAAAGGCACUAUGCUCAAUAGUUCCUCACUUCAUCCUAGCAGGAAACCAUUAAACAUCUCAAAGGCAUACAAAUAAAAAGCAUUAUUCUGCAAACGUGUGCUCACUAUAAAAGGCAUUAUUCUGCAAACUUGUGCUCACUACUCUUAUGAAUGCUCAGAACCUCAGACCUUCAAUAGAAAAACCUACAGUGCCCAAAGUUGAAAACAUGUGAUUUGUAUCUAGGAGUAAGCAUAAAAUUUAAGGAAUUUAUUGGGCGUAAUGCAUGUGACUACACAAACAUGCACACUUAUCUGCGAGGAAGUCAUCAUAAACUUCCACCGUCAUGUUAGAGAUUAAGAUAACAGAACGUUGAACUAUCAUAAAUUGAAAACGAAUGCAAUCAAGCAGCUCAAUCCUUAGGGACAACAGAAAAACACAGGGCAUGAAUAUAAACUAUCGGUAAAUGCAGAUCAAGAACAAACAGAUUAAGUUAAAUUGGGUAAUGAAUGGCAAAAAUGAUACCUACAUGUAAUCCAUCAGUUCGCAUGUAUGUUAUCAACCCCGUUGCUUCUUCAUCUGAUAGUUUGACCCCCUCAUACAGCUUCUGAGCCAGCUGCAAUUAAAUGAUGCCGUAAUAAAAAUAGUUCUUCGAUGAAAAAUCCUAUCAUCUUGGGAUAGACUUAAACAAGUAAAAUAUAACUAAAUCAGAUAAUCUUCUGAAAGUCGUUGAGUAAUUUAUGAAUAUUCAAAACGAAACCACUACUAUGAAAUAUUUAGCAAUGUUAAAGAAGCAACCAACCGCAUGUAAGACCUAAGAUUCAAUUGAAAAAUAAUGUGUAGAUGCCAAUAAUACAAGUUAUUGGCAUAGAAACUGAAACUGCAAUUAGCUAAAUGUCAAAUUAAGUAAUACUACAUCUGAAAAACAGAUCAAUCAUAUGUAUCGACUGGCUCCCCUCGAGGUCAAGCCAACAUGAGAAUUGUUUAAAUAGUUUCAAGGUAAAGUGAUAAACAAACAAGACUCUGCUAAUUGGCAUCAUAGGACCCCCUGCUUUUCUCAAAUAGCAAUUCAUGGUCAGAUUGAAAAAAUUAGAUCCCACUAAGGAAAUGAGCCUAUUUUUCAUAAAGAAAAAGGAUGCAAGAGGUCAUUAAAUCUCUGAAGAAUGAGAAACAAACCUUCAUUGUAUAAGCAGCAGUAAAGUGCAGCUUGUUAGCAGAAUCUUGCUGAAGACUUGAUGUUAUAUAAGGCAUGGGAGGAUUUUUAUAAACUUUGCUCAUUUUUACACCUAUCACUUUAAAUUUAGAGGAAGAGGCUCGUUUUUCAAUGGCCUGUGCCUCUGCUUGAGAGCCUACAGAUAGCUGAUCCAAUUUUUUGGAAUCAAAAUGAGUUAAAUAUGAAGAAAUAGAGCUUUUGUUCUUUGAAGAAUCUGAACUUGAAACUUGAAAGUCAACCCCAACACUCCAAUACUCUUGUGGAUUAAAUUGUUCAAUCUCUGUCUCCCUAUCACAUAAAAGUGCCAAGGCUGCAGAUUGGACACGGCCAGCCGACUGGCAACCAGGUAGCUUCCUCCAUAAAAGUGGUGAUAUGCUGAAACCAAUCAAGUAAUCAAGGGCGCGCCGUGCAAGAUAAGCAUUGACCAAAUUCAUAUCUAUAUCUCUGGGAGAGUGCAAAGCACUUUUGACAGAAGCCUCCGUUAUUUCAUAAAAUACGACUCUUGCCACAGUGAUAUUUCCACCUAAGGCAUCUUGUUGUUGUAGCAUUUCAGUGAUAUGCCAAGCAAUUGCUUCACCCUCACGGUCAGGAUCAGAUGCAAGAAUAAGAUUUUCCGCUCUGGGAAGAAGAACGGACGAAUGUAAGAAAAGGGUGAAUCAGAUGCACGACCUUUUUCCACAAAAGAAAUUUCUAAUGAAACCAUUGCAAACAAUGACAAAAUAAAGAAUGAAGAGUAAACUUUAACUACAUGGAGCAUAAAUAAAGGAACAGUCAUUUAGUAGUGGAGCUACCGGGCAGAUGACCUUGCUUAGCGUUCACAAUCUCCAACAGCUGAUUUUUAUGUCCUUAAGUCCAUUAGUUGACGUAUUAAGAAUGCCGAUUUAGUAGCUUUAAUGAACAAUUGCUACCAACAAUGUUGUCGCUGUCAUAGAUAAAUUGUAGAAAUCAUAGGAACGAUCAACUAGAUCAAGGACAAUAGCAUUGUCUUUUUUUAAUAAAAAUUACAAAAAUUACAAUUAAUAAAAACAGAUUUUUACAUAAGAAACAAUUGUCAAAUAUCUUAACUGGUUUAUUCAAUCAGGUUAAAUACAAAAUAAUAGCUCAACAAUGAUGACGGAUGUAAGCAAAUGCAACAGAAGAAAAAAUAAUUCAUUCCUUCAUUGAAAUAUCUGUAAAUGAAACUUUUUUCAUCUUUCAGUUGAAUCAUAUAUGGUAAUACAGAGCAUUACAGUAUGUAAUGAACUGAUUUUCAUUCAGAAAAUCUAUAAAGAAACAAAAUAUGGAGGGGAAUCAUGAAGCUCUAGUUAAUAGUAGUUAGAAAAAGGAUUAUUUCCUUACAAAUCCGUCUACUAAGGUUAGAUGGUAAUGUUGUUGCUUUCUGGUGACAAAGAUAAUUGCUUACUUAUCCCGUUUGAACCUAUAAAAGAGAUUAACUUAUCAUUGCCAUAAAUAUUUAACCUAUAGAGACAUAAUUAAGUUAGAUCCUCUGAUCUAAGGGUUUCACUAUACGUAAAAUAAAUGGAUUCUUUCUACAUUCCAAUUCAGGGAUUAUAACUCUUAUCUUAAGAACCAUUCGCAUAAGAUUUUUUAAAUCCAGAGUGUGAAUCAUACAAAUCCUAAAAAAAAAGUUUCUUACAAUUAUAAACUUAGCCACCAAUUCUUUCAAAAUGAGAUUCGUAUGUAUGCCACAAUUAUGUAGUAUGGUAAAUAAGAACCAACAUAAAGAAGCAUACCCGCUUAAUGCUACCUUAAUGCUCUUAAGAUGUGUCCAGGCAGCAGAAGGCACCUCCCAAACCAUGCUGAAGUCAUCAUCAGUCCUGACUGAUCGUGACCUAGCAGCCAAGUCUCUAACAUGACCAUAACUAGGCAGCACCUCAUACUUAUCCCCUAGAUAAUUCUGGAUGACUCUUGCUUUUGUGACUGACUCCACCACAACAACCGAUUUACCGGUUGGAGGGUAAAGAGGGUGAAGGGAAUUAUGCUGCUUCCUUCCAAACUUUGCACAUUUAACAGAAGAAUUCUGACUGCUAUUUUUAACUUCAUGAGAUGUAAUAGCCACAUUGGCUUUCUGUGCUCUUGAAGAUCUUUUCGAACUUUUAGGCUCCUUUUUAGUUCCAGAAGCACUUUUAGAUGGUAUUUCCUCCUGUUUUGAAACAGGCUUCCAAUUCUUCUUUUCUGGAGUUUUAGUAGCUUUCUUGGUCGGUUCUUUCUUUUCUCUAAGGCCUACAGCAACUUGCUCUCCACUCUGUGCAGCAAUUGCACUUCUGGUAACUGUCUUAUCAGUGCAUGCAACAUCCUUUGCGGAGUUACCGGUGAAUGCAGCAUUCGCCUCUCCAUUAAUACUGGCACAAGUGGCUAGUGAAUUUUCUCGUCUCUUUGAUCCAUGAAGCAGGUGAGAUGCACCAGGACCAUCUUCUGUUUUACUACCUUUCACAACUAAGUUAUCUUGGAAACUCUUUGAUCUGGCCACAAGUUGGAACUUCUUUUUACUCUUGGUUGAAAACAAUCUUUUGUUUCUGUGUUCACGAGCCAUCAAAUUAAAUAUAGGAGUGCUUUCAGAUCCAGAAAUGCCAAUACCGCAACUAUUGAAAUGUCUAAUAGAAUAAGAGGGCAUCUGUUUAAACUGCGGAGAAACUCUAAUAGAAAUCCCAGCAUCCAUCUUUCUCAAUGAAUUAACCUUCAGUAUUAGUUGUACAGGCUUUACAUUGGAACCAUUAAAGCCUAAUGGCGAAUAAGGCAUGCAGCUGCAUGGAAAAUUCUGCAACGCCCUAUAUUGAAGCUGCAACAAGAAACCCAAAGGCGAGACAUUUGAGCACUGAAAUAUUUGCAAUAUUUAGAUAGUUGCGCAUGAGACUGCAAGAAUCCCCAGAAGGACCAACCAUUACUUACAAGCUAUAGUGAGGCAAUAUGACAAACAAGAAAUAGGCAGAAUUACAAACCCCAAAUUUCUUGAAGCCAGCUAUGAUCAAACCCUUUCUACAACUUUAUAUGCAUUAAAUAUGUUGUCAAUGACGAAAAGCUAAUCUCCUAAGAAAAUCCUACAGAGGUUUAAAUCUUUGAAAACCUUACAGAGCUGAUACUAAAGGCUCAAACCUUCAAAGAACAUAGGAUUCUCAUUCGCUUGCCACCAUCGUUCACAAGAAUCACAAAUCAAUACAUCGCAUUCAAGAAACGGGAAAUGAUAAAAAAUGAAAAGCGUAGAUACCAUGGCUGGAGAAGAGAAACUCCUUGGUAAGCAGCUGGGGAAGAAGAGCCUACGAAGCUGGAGCGCCAUGCGAGCCCUCUGAGGAUCCGCUAAAGAUAAGAGAGGGCCCCCGAAGCUAUCACGAAGAAGGAAAAUGAGCGUAAAAACAUUAGCACACGAUUCAAGAAAUGGAGGAGAGAGCUUACAGCUGCAGCGAUGGCGAUGGUCGUACCUGAGGAUAUCUAGGGUUAGGGUUAGGGUUUUGGGGCGGCAUCAGCUGCGGAGCAUCACUACGACGACGGAGGAAGAAGAAACGGGCCAGUGUUCCGAACAGAGAGCGCUCCUCUCUCUCACUCUCUCUCUCUCUCUCUCUCUCCCUCUCUCGGGCGCGGCUUUGGAUACGCGCACAAAUGGAAAGGAGAUAUCGGUUCGUUAGGGGUUUUACUUGUGGCGAGGUUUUUAUACAUGCGGGACCGGGGGCGAAUGGACUGGUCUAGGGUUCCGGUUUAGGUUGAGACGGUUCGACCGGACCGGGUGUUGUAUUUCGGCCGGUUCAGGUUGAGUCGAGAUGUGACUCGAACCUUACUUCCUUGGCGCAACGUGAUCAGUGCGUGCUUGGGGCUUUUUUAUAAAAUGACCCUCUAAAAAAUUGUAAUUGGCAAAAUAAUCAUGUAAAAAUUUUAUUUGUAAAACUAACCCUCCUUUCGCCACGUAGGCGGCACGUCAAGAUUUUCUUAUAAAGACGGUAAAUCGUUCGCCGUUUUCUCUUAUUUCUUUUAUUUUAAAGGCGGUAAAUCGUUCACCGCUUUUUCCCAUUUCUUUUAAAGGCGGUAAAUCGUUCACCUCUUUCUCCCAUUUUUUUAAAAAACGAUAAAUCAUUCACCGCUUUUCACUUAUUUACUGUUCCUUUCUAUAUCCCAUAUAAUCUUAACAACUUUUAAAACCUAAUAAUUUAUCCAUAUAAUUUCAUAUAAAGGCAGUUAAGAUUAUAUGAAAUUAUAUAAAUAAAUUAUUAGGAUUUAAAGAUUGUUAAGAUUAUAUGUAAUUUGUUAGAAUUUUUAUGUGGUUGUUAGGAUUAUAUAAGAAAUAUAGAAAAUAACAAUAAAUAAGUUAUGGAAGAAAACGGUGAAUGAUUCACCGCCUUUAAAAGAAAUGGGAGAACGCGGUGAACGAUUCACCGUCUUUAAAUGAAAUAGGAGAAAAGAGGAUUAAUUUUACAAAUAAAAUUUUGAGUGGAUUAUUUCGCAAAUUUUAAAAUUUUAGAGGGUUGUUUUAUAAAAAAGUCCGCGUGCUUGUCGCUGUUUAAAAAGUGGGCGAAAAUGAGAAUAAAUGAAAAGAAAGAGAUGGAACAAGUGAGCAAGGUUUGCACACUUACUAUUUUAAAUUGUCUUCAUAGUAUUCUUUACAAUUGUAAUGCUUUUAUAUGCAAGUUGUUAUUAAAUUAUAAAUUAUAUCAAAUAAUUUAUCUACUGAUUUGAAUACUUCGGAUAAUGGAUAGGAUAAAUAUUUGGAAUCAAAAAAAAAAAAAGGUUGAAACUAGGCCAAUUUGUAUCUGAUGAGAAUGUGGCGUGGUUAAAAUUACAGAGCAAUACCUAUUUGUACAUGUAAAUUUUAUAAUCUAUUUUAUCUAAAGAUUAAUAUUUUUGCAGUAAACUAGUUAUUUCUUUUAAUAUGAAAAAUUAAAUGAAUAGGUAUAAAUUUUGCACUCUCUAUUUGAGUACACAAGUGGCACUUAAAAUUAUAAUGAGUAAAUAAAUGGUAUAUGCACACCUGAUCAUAUUAUUAUGGAAAGCAUAAAGUUUGAUAGAUGAUCUAUUAAAAUCCUGUUUGUUUAUCCAUCCAUUAUCUCCGAAGCUUCAGAAAUAUCUUUGUAGAUUGAGCUUUAGAAAGUGGAGAAACCUGCUUCAAUUAUUUGCAGCUCCUUCCCAGUGGCGCAUAACAAUAUUACUUUACUGUCUAUUUUGUUCCCAUUUGUCUACCUAUACCAAAUAUAUUAUCUGAGAAUUCUCUCUUAUUCGACAUAUUCUUUAUUUUUAAGUAUGUAAAUAUUUUACCGACUGUCUCUAGCACGAGUGGUAAAAAACUUAGUAGUUGGUAUUCGAGAUCGAAAAUUCAAAGCAUAUUUGCUUUAUAUUUUCAGUUAGAUUCAUUUAUUUAAAAUAAAAUAAUAAAAUAGAUAAAAUGCUAUUUUUCUCUAAAAAAUACAUAUAAUAUUUUUAAUCUAAUAAUUUAUCUCUUAGGCUCAUUCUAAAUAAUAAAAAUAAUAAUAACUAACGUAUAGAGGAGGAAGUUGAGAGUAGAUGAAGUAGAGCUCUAACGUAACUUGAGUUACAUUAUAUUUUUCACCUAGGGGCCUGUUUGUUUCGACGGAAGUGGGGUGGAAGUGGGACGGGGAAAGUGAUUUUCGGUGAAAACUAACCACUUCCGCUGUUUGGUUCACCGUAAGUUUAUUACGCCCGAAAGUUCAGUUCACCCAAAAUAAGGAACUUGACUUCGCCCUCCCAUGGGGCGAAGUCAAUUUCGGUGAAGUGAAAAAAAGGCAAGANAAAAUAUGAUCAAAUUUGAUUAGGUAAACUUUAAUAUAUUUUUUGUUUAAUUUGUAUAUUUAGAAAAUGAUGAAAAAUGAAUUUGUUAAAUGUUAAUAAUUUUUUAACUUUAGAAUUUUAUUUGUUGCAUUAUUAUAAUUUAUAUGCAAACAAAUAAUAUAAUUUUUUAAAAUUUUAUUUUAUAAUUAUACAUAUAUAUAAUUAUAUACAUAUAUAAUUAUAUUAAUUUUUAUUUAUUAUAAUUUAUUAUUCACUAUAAGUUAUAAAAUAGACAAUAAUAUCACUUUGGAGGUAAGUAUACCGGGGGUGGAGAGCUACACUUUUUACGUCAUCUACUUCCUACCAAACAAACAACAGAACUCGCAGAACUGCACUUCCACAGUUAAAAACAAACAGCAGAAGUAAACUAAUUUUCACCCCAACUCCACUUCAACCCAAAGUCCACUUCCACCCCAAGUCUACUUACGUUGAAACAAAUAUGCCCCUAUACAAAAACAAAUAACGAAAGUGAUGGAACUUGAGUUCCAUCACUCCACUUACACCAAAACAAAC
RNAcentral lists this long non-coding RNA (37191 nucleotides) under Ananas comosus (pineapple). RNAcentral's name for it is "long non-coding RNA (ACOM_LNC011127)". The stretch from base 8278 to 8356 matches the Rfam family "Small nucleolar RNA R160". The record is from RNAcentral. Lineage: Eukaryota; Viridiplantae; Streptophyta; Magnoliopsida; Poales; Bromeliaceae.